RNAcentral lists this ribosomal RNA (253 nucleotides) under uncultured microorganism. Its description in RNAcentral is "partial 16S ribosomal RNA". It matches the Rfam family "Bacterial small subunit ribosomal RNA", at positions 524 to 776 of the family's 1533-position model. The record is from RNAcentral.
UACGGAGGGGGCAAGCGUUACUCGGAUUUACUGGGUGUAAAGGGUGCGUAGGCGGCCUGGAAAGUCAGAAGUGAAAUACUUCGGCUCAACCGAAGAGACGUUUCUGAAACUUCUGGGCUAGAGAGUCAAAGAGGAGAAUGGAACUGCCGGUGUAGGGGUGAAAUCCGUAGAUAUCGGCAGGAACACCAGCGGCGAAGGCGGUUCUCUGGUUGACUUCUGACGCUGAGGCACGAAAGCUAGGGGAGCAAACAGG